GCGGUCGUGGCGGAAUGGAAGACGCGCUAGGUUGAGGGCCUAGUGGGAGAAAUCCCGUGGAGGUUCAAGUCCUCUCGGCCGCA
This 83-nucleotide transfer RNA is filed under the name Staphylococcus aureus. RNAcentral describes it as "tRNA-Leu". It matches the Rfam family "tRNA". Rfam says of the family: Transfer RNA (tRNA) molecules are approximately 80 nucleotides in length. Their secondary structure includes four short double-helical elements and three loops (D, anti-codon, and T loops). Further hydrogen bonds mediate the characteristic L-shaped molecular structure. tRNAs have two regions of fundamental functional importance: the anti-codon, which is responsible for specific mRNA codon recognition, and the 3' end, to which the tRNAs corresponding amino acid is attached (by aminoacyl-tRNA synthetases). tRNAs cope with the degeneracy of the genetic code in two manners: having more than one tRNA (with a specific anti-codon) for a particular amino acid; and 'wobble' base-pairing, i.e. permitting non-standard base-pairing at the 3rd anti-codon position. The record is from RNAcentral. Lineage: Bacteria; Bacillati; Bacillota; Bacilli; Caryophanales; Staphylococcaceae.